This 868-nucleotide ribosomal RNA is filed under the name Actinomycetales bacterium BPSAC161. RNAcentral's name for it is "bacterial SSU rRNA". It matches the Rfam family "Bacterial small subunit ribosomal RNA", at positions 35 to 918 of the family's 1533-position model. Lineage: Bacteria; Bacillati; Actinomycetota; Actinomycetes; Actinomycetales. The record is from RNAcentral.
GCGUGGGGGGUGCUUACCAUGCAAGUCGAACGAUGAACCGCUUUCGGGCGGGGAUUAGUGGCGAACGGGUGAGUAACACGUGGGCAAUCUGCCCUGCACUCUGGGACAAGCCCUGGAAACGGGGUCUAAUACCGGAUAUGACUGUCCAUCGCAUGGUGGAUGGUGUAAAGCUCCGGCGGUGCAGGAUGAGCCCGCGGCCUAUCAGCUUGUUGGUGAGGUAGUGGCUCACCAAGGCGACGACGGGUAGCCGGCCUGAGAGGGCGACCGGCCACACUGGGACUGAGACACGGCCCAGACUCCUACGGGAGGCAGCAGUGGGGAAUAUUGCACAAUGGGCGAAAGCCUGAUGCAGCGACGCCGCGUGAGGGAUGACGGCCUUCGGGUUGUAAACCUCUUUCAGCAGGGAAGAAGCGAAAGUGACGGUACCUGCAGAAGAAGCGCCGGCUAACUACGUGCCAGCAGCCGCGGUAAUACGUAGGGCGCAAGCGUUGUCCGGAAUUAUUGGGCGUAAAGAGCUCGUAGGCGGCUUGUCACGUCGGUUGUGAAAGCCCGGGGCUUAACCCCGGGUCUGCAGUCGAUACGGGCAGGCUAGAGUUCGGUAGGGGAGAUCGGAAUUCCUGGUGUAGCGGUGAAAUGCGCAGAUAUCAGGAGGAACACCGGUGGCGAAGGCGGAUCUCUGGGCCGAUACUGACGCUGAGGAGCGAAAGCGUGGGGAGCGAACAGGAUUAGAUACCCUGGUAGUCCACGCCGUAAACGGUGGGCACUAGGUGUGGGCAACAUUCCACGUUGUCCGUGCCGCAGCUAACGCAUUAAGUGCCCCGCCUGGGGAGUACGGCCGCAAGGCUAAAACUCAAAGGAAUUGACGGGG